AGUUUUCAAGGGAGGGUCUCACUCUGCAGCCCUGACUUGCUGGCUUUGAUCCUCCACUGGAGAUGCACCUGUUUCUGGCCUCUGAAGCCCUGGGGCUGAAGGUGUGCACCAUCACAUCUAGCCAAUCACCCCGAUUUUCUGGAGAGGGUUAGGGAGGUUCCCUCAACCCCUCAGGAGACACAGAGAGAAGAGGAUGCUUGAAAGACGUCCUUCCUGGGUCCCACCAGCUCGGUCCAGUUCCACCCCAGCAGGGAUUCUAUAGUUCUAGACCACGUUCCUGCCCCCAAUGGGAUCCGACCUUAAGCCCGGAGCUCACCAGGUAGUUCUCAUCCUGGAAGGCGAAGUGCAGCUGCGUGAUCCAGCGCCGGUCCCCCUUCACCAAUACAUCCCUUUCUUCCCGGAAGCAUGACACCUGUGAGGAUGAUUUUAGGAUUCUGCUUCCAAAACCUCUGCCAUGUUUGGGGGACCCAGAACUGACGGUUUCCACAGGGCUGCAGGGCAGCAAGGGAAGCCCUCAAUUCCCACUCCACGUGCAGAUUCGGAUGCUCAGUCAGGUCCUGAGACCUCAUCUAAUGCCCUGGGCCAUGGCCUCCACAGGCAGCGGCGUCUAGCCAGCACGAGGACUGCGCUUGGGAAACACUGAGUGUGCAGCCUGGAGUAGGGAGGGUCACAGCCCGCCAGAUCCUGGGCACUGCUGGAAGCAUUCUUGGUCUCCAAGGGGCAGGAGAGCCUUUUUGCGGCCAAAGCUGCAGGGGUAAGGUCCCGUGCUAGGGUGCUUCAGCAGGAGGAGGGCAGCUAGGUCAGGGGCUGACAACCUGGGGGCAGGGGGCAGAGGAAGGCCAGGUCUCCCUUGGGGAAAGUCAGGACUGGCGGUAAGGACAGAGGAGGACUGAGUGCGGGGAAG
Long non-coding RNA from Onychomys torridus (southern grasshopper mouse), 904 nucleotides. RefSeq lists it as uncharacterized. The record is from RefSeq and is a predicted model, not a curated record. The transcript has 4 exons. NCBI's taxonomy places the organism in Eukaryota, Metazoa, Chordata, Mammalia, Rodentia, Cricetidae.